CCAUGAGUAAAGUGGCGACCGGGUGAGUAACACGUGACUAACCUACCUUCGAGUGGGGAGUAACUCCGGGAAACCGGGGCUAAUACCGCAUAACAUCGCAAGAUCAAAGCAGCAAUGCGCUUGAAGAGGGGGUCGCGGCCGAUUAGCUAGUUGGCGGGGUAACGGCCCACCAAGGCGAAGAUCGGUAUCCGGCCUGAGAGGGCGCACGGACACACUGGAACUGAAACACGGUCCAG
Molecule: ribosomal RNA, 236 nt
Filed under: uncultured bacterium
Lineage: Bacteria
Description: partial 16S ribosomal RNA
Rfam family: Bacterial small subunit ribosomal RNA
Source: RNAcentral